RNAcentral lists this ribosomal RNA (421 nucleotides) under Lactobacillus delbrueckii. RNAcentral describes it as "bacterial SSU rRNA". It matches the Rfam family "Bacterial small subunit ribosomal RNA", at positions 75 to 481 of the family's 1533-position model. The record is from RNAcentral. Lineage: Bacteria; Bacillati; Bacillota; Bacilli; Lactobacillales; Lactobacillaceae.
GGUACUUGUACCGACUGGAUGAGCAGCGAACGGGUGAGUAACGCGUGGGGAAUCUGCCUUUGAGCGGGGGACAACAUUUGGAAACGAAUGCUAAUACCGCAUAAAAACUUUAAACACAAGUUUUAAGUUUGAAAGAUGCAAUUGCAUCACUCAAAGAUGAUCCCGCGUUGUAUUAGCUAGUUGGUGAGGUAAAGGCUCACCAAGGCGAUGAUACAUAGCCGACCUGAGAGGGUGAUCGGCCACAUUGGGACUGAGACACGGCCCAAACUCCUACGGGAGGCAGCAGUAGGGAAUCUUCGGCAAUGGACGAAAGUCUGACCGAGCAACGCCGCGUGAGUGAAGAAGGUUUUCGGAUCGUAAAACUCUGUUGGUAGAGAAGAACGUUGGUGAGAGUGGAAAGCUCAUCAAGUGACGGUAACUA